GACCGAUAGCAAACAAGUACCGUGAGGGAAAGUUGCAAAGAACUUUGAAGAGAGAGUUCAAGAGUACGUGAAACUGCUCAGAGGGAAACGGGUGGGCCCUCGAAAUCCUGUGGCGAGAGGAUUCAGUCUGGCGCGGCGGACGGGCUUGGUCGGAAGAUGCAGGGCUUCCCGAGACGGGGGCCGUCCGAUCGUCCGUCAUCCGUCGUGCCCGACGCAUUUGUCUCUCGUCCGAAGGACGCUGCAGCCGGUCGGGCAGCGCAAGCGUGACGGCCUGAGGGUCGGGAGAUGGCAGGUGGCCGGUGGCGAGCCUCGUGUUCGUCGCCGGUUGUUAGCCGUCCCGUCAGUGGCACGUCGCUCGACCGAGGUGUCGCGAGUCCCCUCGGGGAUUCCACGUCUCCUCCCCACGGAUUGCGAUCGAGACGUCGCAGGCUUCGUAACCCGCGUUGUCGCACCGCCUCGCGGUGGGCUCGUGGUCGUUCGAUACCGUUGGCGACGUCCGUACCGCAGGAGGCCGGAGGCUUGCAGCGAGUAGGUCGGUCACCCACCCGACCCGUCUUGAAACACGAACCAAGGAGUCCAACAUGUGCGCGAGUCAGUGGGUCUUGACUAGGCCCACGGGCGCAAUGAAAGCGAAGGCGCGCUUCUCGCGUGCCGAGUUGGGAUCCCCUCCCCCGGGGGGGGCGCACCAACGAUCCGUCCCGUCCGGUUCGCCGGUGGGAUGGAGUGUGAGCGUACACGUUGGGACCCGAAAGAUGGUGAACUAUGCCCGGACAGGACGAGGCCAGAGGAAACUCUGGUGGAGGUCCGCAGCGGUUCUGACGUGCAAAUCGAUCGUCAGAUCCGGGUAUAGGGGCGAAAGACUAAUC
Molecule: ribosomal RNA, 866 nt
Filed under: Philodromus aureolus
Lineage: Eukaryota; Metazoa; Arthropoda; Arachnida; Araneae; Philodromidae
Description: eukaryotic LSU rRNA
Rfam family: Eukaryotic large subunit ribosomal RNA
Source: RNAcentral